CAACAUAAUGUUAGGAAUAAUUUAACAAUAGAUAAUGUAAGUAUACAUACAUAAAUGCUAUUCAUUGUUCAUCAGAGAAGAAACAUCACACAAUUAUUAACGUGAUAAAUAACAGUGUUUUAUUUACUGGUGUAUGGUACGUCUACAUAGAUUAUAAUUGUAAGUGUUUAUAGAGUCGAUGCGGAUCAUUUCGUGGAAUAGCCUCAUUUGCGGACUAUAGUAAAUCACAGGUGACGUCACUGCACUACUGCAGUAUUUAACAUACGGGUCUUUGCGACCUAGUUUGAGACCGUGUACAGUUAAAAGUUAUGGAUCACCUCGUGUGAUUUUUAUCGGUUUAGACAGACGCGUGUUUUUAACAGAUGUCGGUGCAAAAUUAAUUGGAUAUCACCCGCGAAUUGAGGUUGCAAAGACGAUCAUGGAAUGGAAUGCCUUCAUAGCGGCCAGUUUCUACAGGGAGGAGGUGGUUGGCAGUGCGGAAUCUAAAGAUACUUUGGGACUCAUCGGGAUGAAUUUUAAUCAGGUCAGAGGCACUACUUGAGACAAUGACGGUGUCAUCUGCAUACAAUAGGACCAGAAGCUUAAGCCACAAUAUUGCAGUAUCUGGGUUGAUAAGUUCAACCCCAACAGAUCCAUUUAUAUGCAGGUAUGAAUGAAGGUCAUUUAAGAAAAGCGAGAAAAGUACUGGUGAUAAAUUUUCUCCUUGCCUUACUCC
Molecule: long non-coding RNA, 715 nt
Organism: Dreissena polymorpha
Lineage: Eukaryota; Metazoa; Mollusca; Bivalvia; Myida; Dreissenidae
Exons: 3
Source: RefSeq, a predicted model, not a curated record